CUGUGGCCUGGUUCAAGUAAUCCAGGAUAGGCUGUAUCCAUUCUUGCUGGCCUAUUCUUGGUUACUUGCACUGGGAGGCAA
Phalacrocorax carbo (great cormorant) is the source of this 81-nucleotide non-coding RNA. NCBI's taxonomy places the organism in Eukaryota, Metazoa, Chordata, Aves, Suliformes, Phalacrocoracidae. The record is from Rfam.